This 258-nucleotide long non-coding RNA is filed under the name Dermacentor andersoni. RNAcentral describes it as "uncharacterized LOC126519277". The record is from RNAcentral. Lineage: Eukaryota; Metazoa; Arthropoda; Arachnida; Ixodida; Ixodidae.
GUAAGAUUGCGCUUAAGUGAGAAGCUCCGAGGGCAUGAAGGGCACUGAAAUGGCCUCUCGCCUGUGUGGAUACGCAGAUGAUCUCUCAGAGUGCACUUUAGCGAGAAGCUCUGAGGGCAUGAAGGGCACUGAAAUGGCCUCUCGCCUGUGUGGGUACGCAGGUGAUCAGUAAGAGUGCGCUUAAGUGAGAAGCUUCGAGGGCAUGAAGGGCACUGAAAUGGCCUCUCGCCUGUGUGAAUGCGGAGGUGUACAUUGAGA